Molecule: non-coding RNA, 73 nt
Organism: Carcharodon carcharias (great white shark)
Lineage: Eukaryota; Metazoa; Chordata; Chondrichthyes; Lamniformes; Lamnidae
Source: the annotation of a RefSeq genome assembly
GCCGAAAUAGCUCAGUUGGGAGAGCGUUAGACUGAAGAUCUAAAGGUCCCUGGUUUGAACCCAGCUUUCGGCA